This 484-nucleotide ribosomal RNA is filed under the name uncultured bacterium. RNAcentral's name for it is "partial 16S ribosomal RNA". It matches the Rfam family "Bacterial small subunit ribosomal RNA", at positions 30 to 507 of the family's 1533-position model. The record is from RNAcentral.
AUUGAACGCUGGCGGCAGGCCUAACACAUGCAAGUCGAGCGGAUGAAGGGAGCUUGCUCCUGGAUUCAGCGGCGGACGGGUGAGUAAUGCCUAGGAAUCUGCCUGGUAGUGGGGGAUAACGUCCGGAAACGGCCGCUAAUACCCCAUACGUCCGGAGGGAGAAAGUGGGGGAUUUUCGGACCUCACGUAACAAGAUGAGCCUAGGUCGGAUUAGCUAGUUGGUGGGGUAAAGGCCUACCAAGGCGACGAUCCGUAACUGGUCUGAGAGGAUGAUCAGUCACACUGGAACUGAGACACGGUCCAGACUCCUACGGGAGGCAGCAGUGGGGAAUAUUGGACAAUGGGCGAAAGCCUGAUCCAGCCAUGCCGCGUGUGUGAAGAAGGUCUUCGGAUUGUAAAGCACUUUAAGUUGGGAGGAAGGGCAGUAAGUUAAUACCUUGCUGUUUUGACGUUACCAACAGAAUAAGCACCGGCUAACUUCGUG